Salmo salar (Atlantic salmon) is the source of this 54-nucleotide non-coding RNA. The record is from Rfam. Lineage: Eukaryota; Metazoa; Chordata; Actinopteri; Salmoniformes; Salmonidae.
GGGGACCAGUACUGUAAGUCGCUUUGGAUAAGAGCGUCUGCUAAAUAAUGUAAA